Molecule: ribosomal RNA, 253 nt
Filed under: uncultured bacterium
Lineage: Bacteria
Description: partial 16S ribosomal RNA
Rfam family: Bacterial small subunit ribosomal RNA
Source: RNAcentral
UACGAAGGGGGCUAGCGUUGCUCGGAAUCACUGGGCGUAAAGCGCACGUAGGCGGCUGCUUAAGUCAGGGGUGAAAGCCUGGAGCUCAACUCCAGAACUGCCUUUGAUACUGAGAAGCUUGAGUCCGGGAGAGGUGAGUGGAACUGCGAGUGUAGAGGUGAAAUUCGUAGAUAUUCGCAAGAACACCAGUGGCGAAGGCGGCUCACUGGCCCGGUACUGACGCUGAGGUGCGAAAGCGUGGGGAGCAAACAGG